GCUCUAUUCCAGAAGCAGUCUGGAGCACAAAGAAUCCCUAAUCACUGACAUUAAGAAAGAAGAAAAAUAUUCCUAGGACGAUCCUGGAGAGCAAAGGUCAUCAGCAGUCACUUGACUUUCCUUGGAUUUCUCAACUGCAGUAGUCACAUGGUCUGCUGAAAAUGAAUUCUCUUUAUUUUCAUCUGAUUUCAAGGAAUUAUGGUUUUCAGUGAUUUCUUCAUUUGGAUCUAUUUUGAGACAGAGUAAUAGCAUUAAAACCCCCUUCUGAAUUAAUAAGGCAUUUGUUGCUGAAACGCAAAGUGUGACAAGCCAAUGGAGAUAAAAAAGCAUAAAUUCAAGAACACAAUUCAACAGUUUAGUGGUAGUGCUAACCUCAGGAUCAAGGUUUUCAGAGAAUGCUUUUUUCUCAGCUUCUAAUUGUAUGCCAUUCGGCGUUGGAAGGGAAGAAGGUGCAGAAUGUAACUCCAAUUCUUCACUGAGGGCAGUUUCUUUAUCUUCUAGUCCAUCCUUCUCCUCCAUGUGACUUUUCUUUUUCAACAUACUCCUUGGCCGAGGUGAUGGUUUAAAGUGAUCAUCUGUGUCAAGGCUGUUGUUUUCUGCUGAAAAAUAAAAUGCUUAAAGUGUGUGU
Long non-coding RNA from Homo sapiens (human), 628 nucleotides. Ensembl annotates it as MAP9 antisense RNA 1. Its record names the gene MAP9-AS1. The record is from Ensembl. Lineage: Eukaryota; Metazoa; Chordata; Mammalia; Primates; Hominidae.